CUCCAAGCAGAAAGGAGGGAGGAGACUCGGUGAGGGCACAGCUGUGCCUGGGGAAGUGGUCUGUGCCUCGCCUUGAGCUCCCCAGACCCCGAUUACGGUCCUCACGUAAUGGAGAGCAGGCUCGGGGAGGACGGUUUGCUCAAUCUCACGUUCCCUGGAGGGGACUCGUUUUCUCUAACAGAGACAGCAGCAAGAAGAGCAGGCCUGGAAAAAAUUCCCAUGGUGGUCCAGAAUUCACUGAUAGAAGGAUAUUCCUGCUUGCUUCUAGGAUCUUGAUAAUGUUGCUCCAUUUCGCUUUCAUCCAGAUCAAGAUGACUGACAACUUGAGUAAUUUCCUAUUCAUUGCGAGUGGGAGAGAGAAAGGUAGAGAGAAUCCCAAGCAGGCCCCAUGCUGACAGUGCAGAGCCUGAGGCGGGA
Molecule: long non-coding RNA, 417 nt
Organism: Suricata suricatta (meerkat)
Lineage: Eukaryota; Metazoa; Chordata; Mammalia; Carnivora; Herpestidae
Exons: 3
Source: RefSeq, a predicted model, not a curated record